Molecule: long non-coding RNA, 164 nt
Organism: Protobothrops mucrosquamatus (brown spotted pit viper)
Lineage: Eukaryota; Metazoa; Chordata; Lepidosauria; Squamata; Viperidae
Exons: 2
Source: RefSeq, a predicted model, not a curated record
AUGUAUGUCCUAGAACACAUUCAGCACAAGGUUCCAGAAGAAGUGCUAAAACAUGAGAAAUAUACCAGUCAACUUCAGAUGAGCUUUAAAGGCACAGCAAUGAAAAGAGCAGAGCAGCCAAUGGAGCAUGGUGGAAAUAUUGAAUUCCCCCAAGCCAAGCUGGA